UUUCCGUGCCGGACCGUGUCCAAGUCUCCUGGAAAGGAGUAUCAAAGAGGGUGAUAAUCCCGUACUUAACACGACCACCGGUGCUCUGUGAUACGUCUUCUACGAGUCUAGUUGUUUGGGAAUGCAGCUCAAAAUGGGUGGUGAAUUCCAUCUAAAGCUAAAUAUUGGCGAGAGACCGAUAGCGAACAAGUACCGUGAGGGAAAGAUGAAAAGCACUUUGGAAAGAGAGUUAAACAGUACGUGAAAUUGUUGAAAGGGAAACGAUUGAAGUCAGUCGUGUUCUUUGGAUUCAGCCAGUUCUGCUGGUCUACUUCCUUGGAACGGGUCAAC
Molecule: ribosomal RNA, 330 nt
Filed under: Trichosporon asahii
Lineage: Eukaryota; Fungi; Basidiomycota; Tremellomycetes; Trichosporonales; Trichosporonaceae
Description: eukaryotic LSU rRNA
Rfam family: Eukaryotic large subunit ribosomal RNA
Source: RNAcentral